RNAcentral lists this unclassified non-coding RNA (338 nucleotides) under soil metagenome. Its description in RNAcentral is "partial contains 5.8S ribosomal RNA, internal transcribed spacer 2, and large subunit ribosomal RNA". The stretch from base 1 to 120 matches the Rfam family "5.8S ribosomal RNA", at positions 35 to 154 of the family's 154-position model. The record is from RNAcentral.
GAUGAAGAACGUAGCGAAAUGCGAUAAGUAGUGUGAAUUGCAGAAUUCAGUGAAUCAUCGAAUCUUUGAACGCACAUUGCGCCCCUCGGUAUUCCGUGGGGCAUGCCUGUUCGAGCGUCAUUUACCCCUCAAGCCUAGCUUGGUAUUGGGUGCUUGUCCCGCCUCUCGCGCGGCGACUCACCUCAAAGUCAUUGGCAGCCCGCAUCUCGCCGGCCGUGAGCGCAGCACAGACGCGCUCUUGGCAACGACGGAUCGGCUCUCCAAAAGCUUAUUUCAACCACUGACCUCGGAUCAGGUAGGGAUACCCGCUGAACUUAAGCAUAUCAAUAAGCGGAGGA